AGGCCAGGACUUAGCAUUUCCUCUACAACCACAGAAGGACUGAAUGUAAUCAGAUGUCUGUAUUUUCUUUCUGCAACAGCAGCUAAAAACAAGUGCUCGGGAAGAGUCUAAGAUUCAUGCAAUAUGCACAAUAUUUCUCCAAAUAGUCUUCCAGUCUCCAGCCGUUUGUGGCUCAUUGACUUCCUAGCUCAGAGAUGGUUUCUGUGUGUUCAGGAAUCCUCAGGGGUCUUCUCUUCAAUGAGCUUGUAAAUCCUAUCCUCUAAAGCAAGUAAGUUUUUAGAAACAUGCAUCAAGGUGUUCUGCAGCUUACCUGCACACAGCAUGAAGAACCACUUCUGGCUUCAGCUACUGCCAUCUCACCCAUCCUUACCCAGCCACACAGUUUUACCAGGAAUAGAUUAUGCCUUUCAUUGUCUGAAGAGACACAGUUUUAUUCGUUGUCUGCUUUCCACAUCCUUGAUCUUGCCUGUGGACCUUCCCUGGGUAAGAGACACAUAGAACUACUAGAAAUAGCAAGUACCACCAAUGGUCUUUGUAGCUAAUCUGUGGAUCAAUGGAAGACAGUUGGAUUAGUAUUUAUUUUCUAGGACAGAACAUAGAAGAUUGGAAAACACUGGGCUGGAGAAAGUGAAAGUACGUACAAGAAAAUUAAUUUAUUUGGUACUGGUGUACGUGUAAAUGUGCACUGCAGGCCUAAGAGAGUGUUUCUGUAAUGCAUGUGGCUUGUACAAACCAAAGGGCAGAAGAGCCUUUCUCAUCCCUUUUGAAGCCACGUGGCUCUGGAGCAGCCCAGCAGAACAAGCAACAAGUACCAGACCUCAGGCCAGCCCUCCUUCCGUCCUGCCUUACAAACCACUCCAGGCAGCCUUGGCAGCCAUGAGCUGAAGGCCCUUAAAAUUGCAGCAAAAUGGGGGCAUUCCUCCUACUGAGCAGGAGGGCAUUUCUGAGCUACCUGGGCAGCUUCAUUCUGCCCCUUACUCAAAAUUAUUCUCAGAGGAGGUGAUUUUGCACUGCUCUUCUCUUAACCUCCAUUAAACUAUCUUUAACCCUAUAGUGGCCCUUAAUCUUAACGAGAUCAACCACUGAGUAGGACACUGUUACAUGCAGGAGUGACUCUACCUUCUAUUUUUUCCACUAAGAAUCUAAAGUCAGGAAAAUAAUUCACAGCUGAUACCUGUUAUUUUUCCCUCCCUGGCAUUCAAGAAGUCAGUCUAUGUGGCUGUGGUUUCCACUUGUCCUAGCCUAAGCAAUUAAGUCUUAUCCUUACCUAGGUUGGCAC
This is a long non-coding RNA of Gallus gallus (chicken), 1279 nucleotides long. NCBI's taxonomy places the organism in Eukaryota, Metazoa, Chordata, Aves, Galliformes, Phasianidae. The record is from Ensembl.